CCCUCCCCCAUUCCUAUGAAGAUGUGAAGAAAUGGAUUUGUAAUAGACAUUUCAGAGACAGGAGAGACUUCCUGAUGAUCCUUGUAUUACACCACUUAUUCCAUACACAAAAAUUGUGUUGGUGAUCAUUUGGGGGUCAAUUAGGCCCUAGAAUACAACUGCAUUUGUUGUAUCCUUCUUCUGAUGAGUUACCUGACCCCUUCUCAACAACAUUCCUCCAGUGGUAUUCCAUCAAAUACAAAGAUCUCAGCUCUGAUCACUUUUUUGAAGGGAGAAUGUCUUAGAAAUAUGAAAACUGACCUCUAAAGGUAU
Molecule: long non-coding RNA, 312 nt
Filed under: Monodelphis domestica (gray short-tailed opossum)
Lineage: Eukaryota; Metazoa; Chordata; Mammalia; Didelphimorphia; Didelphidae
Description: lncRNA (ENSMODG00000042454.1)
Source: RNAcentral